Long non-coding RNA from Xenopus laevis (African clawed frog), 533 nucleotides. RefSeq lists it as uncharacterized. The transcript is spliced from 3 exons. The record is from RefSeq and is a predicted model, not a curated record. NCBI's taxonomy places the organism in Eukaryota, Metazoa, Chordata, Amphibia, Anura, Pipidae.
CCAAGACGCUGUGAGGAUCCAGACGCUGACAUUGGACGCUGAGUGGCAUUUACAAAACUGGAAUUGAUAGUCGACAUCAGGUUGCAUUGAUACAUAGUAGCUAUUGCUGUCCGGAGAGCUUGGACUGGGUAUCGUCCUUUAAGGCAUCCUACUUGAUGAUUGUUACAGGAGCGUCUAGGAUCUCCCUAUCUUGUACUGAGAGCUUAGAGAGUUGGGCAUCUCGCAGGAAAGAAAGACCUUCCUCCGGAUGAUCCUGGUUUUCUUCGUAUAAUUGUUUAAAGUAAGAUUCAAGUUCCGCUUCAAUGGUUUCAGUGUCUCGAGCCCAACCCUCCCCUGUCUUUAGUUUCUUAAUGAAAUGGGACGUGGUGUUAAGCUUGGUUAAUCUAGCUAAAAGCCUGCCUGGUUUGUUUCCCCAUCUAUAAAACCUGUUAUUUGUGUGAGAAAUUUUGUAUUGUGCACUGUCAUGUAUUAAAGUGUUAAAUAAAGCCUUUGCGUCAGUGUAUUUUUUCUUGUCUUCCUCGGAAUUUGUACGU